GGCAAUUGUAGCAUGGUUUUGAUCAGAGGUUUAAUCAUGAAACAGUCUCCUCUGAUGAGCAUGCGCAUUUUAGUUAUAAUACUUUGCAUUAUUUUAUGAUUGUGGAGGGUUUGGGAGGAUAAUCUCAAGUCUAUUUACUUCUUUCCAUUGGGCUAAUCCCUUCUCCGGAGCCCAGCUCAUUUUCAAGCUGCUGCUGCCUUGCGUUGCUGUUUUCCCCCACCCCUUCAGUGCGACAGCCUAGGAGCUGCUGAAAAGACCGAAAGUACGCAACUGGUACUUGCAGAGUUAAAGCUGGCUGGAUCGGUUCCUGGAAUUUUCUAGAAUGAUAUAAGGAAAAUGUAAGAAAUGUGUGAGGAGCAGAAAUAAAAAUGUUUGCCAAGCUAUUGCUGACAAUUUGCUUCAAAAUUCAGUCUUGCACCAGAGAAGUACAGAAAUGCCUCACAACGCCUUCAGUGAACCUACAAUAAAAGGACUCAACUCCACCAUGCCUAGACUCACCUCCUAACAUGGAGAGAUGACUUGUAACCCACAGAGUCUGAAAAGAGGACCCCCAUGCUCACGCAGACUUGGAGGAGCUAGAAGAUGGAGAAACAACACGGACCAGGAGAAAGAGGGCUUCGCCCCCGGUACACACUGCCAUCUAGUGACUACAUUCACUCUGCAUAGGCAAUAGAACAUUGCCACAUACUAUCAGCUCUAAGGUCAAGAGGAGG
This 713-nucleotide long non-coding RNA is filed under the name Fukomys damarensis (Damara mole-rat). Its description in RNAcentral is "lncRNA (ENSFDAG00000022651.1)". The record is from RNAcentral. Lineage: Eukaryota; Metazoa; Chordata; Mammalia; Rodentia; Bathyergidae.